This 299-nucleotide signal recognition particle RNA is filed under the name Aotus nancymaae (Ma's night monkey). Its description in RNAcentral is "Metazoan signal recognition particle RNA (ENSANAG00000005274.1)". It matches the Rfam family "Metazoan signal recognition particle RNA". From Rfam's summary of the family: The signal recognition particle (SRP) is a universally conserved ribonucleoprotein. It is involved in the co-translational targeting of proteins to membranes. Lineage: Eukaryota; Metazoa; Chordata; Mammalia; Primates; Aotidae. The record is from RNAcentral.
GCCGGGUGCGGUGGUGUGUGCCUGUAGUUCCAGCUAUUCAGGAGGCUGAGGGUGAAGGAUCUCUUGAGUCCAGGAGUUCUGGGCUGUAGUGCGCUAUGCCGAUUGGGUGUCCACACUAAGUUCGGCAUCAAUAUGGUGACCUCCCAGGAGCGAGGGACCACCAGGUUGCCUAAGGAGGGGUGAACCGGCCCAGGUCAGAAACGGAGCAGGUCAAAACUCCCAUGCUGAUCAGUAGUGGGAUCGUGCCUGUGAAUAGCCACUGCACUCCAGCCUGGACAACAUAGCGAGACCCUGUCUCU